Molecule: long non-coding RNA, 6593 nt
Organism: Haemorhous mexicanus (house finch)
Lineage: Eukaryota; Metazoa; Chordata; Aves; Passeriformes; Fringillidae
Exons: 2
Source: RefSeq, a predicted model, not a curated record
GGGACCAGCUUCAGCUAAGAGUGAUAAGGGCAGGUCCUUGAGGACAGAGAAGCUCUCAGAGAGUAGAAUUAUAGAAUACCCUGAGCUGGAAGGGACCCACAAUGAUCUUCAAAGUCUAACUCUCCUACCAAGGAAGUGAUGGUAUCUCACCAUCACUUCUCUUCUCACUGGGUUGGAGACAACCAUCUUUAAGCCAAGCCCAAGGCAGUCAAAUGAGGACUGUGAAAUGCCUGCUGGGAUCCCCUCUGCCAAGACCACCUCAGUGGCACGCUGCUUGCACAAAGCGGAGGUCACCUCUGCCGGGGGACCCAUUGUCUCCACAGGGCAGGGAAAGGACAAAUGUUUUGCUGAUGCUCUGGGUUACAAGCCCAGCCUGCACCCCGAUGUGCCCCAGCUGCUCAUGCAGGCCCUGCGGGCCCCCAGCUCCUCUGGGAUGUGUGAUACCUGCAGGGCUGGAUGACAAGAAACACUCGCCCCCAGAGCUGCUUGGGAAAGACACCCCGCAGGCAUGGGGUGUUCCAGGAUGAAAGCAGACAGUGAGUCAGCUCAGAAAGUGGAAUCUGGACGAGCAUCUUCAGGGGUGAUUCCAGGAUGCAUCACGGCAGUGGGAGAGGUUCACCAUCUGCCUGUGCUCAUGGAGAAGUCCUUGGUCAGCCUCUGUGGGUAGGUGUCCACCUGGACAGAGGAACAAGUGCUGGUGCUCCAGGGAGAUGCCUCUGCCUGCAGCACAGUACCCUCAAAGCCACAUCAGCUCCCACCGCAGCUUCAGCACCCUCCUCGAACCUUACCCUCCAGCCACAGAUCCUGCACAGCCCUGGGCCAAACCCCCUCUCUGCUCCCACUGAGGGAGCUGAGGGGAGCUGAGGGAAACAACCUGUUCUCAGGGUACCCAUGGAAUGUAGCUGUACUCUCCAGCUCCCCUGCCAGUCUGCCCAGAAGGACAAAAUGGCAGCAGGUGUUUCAUCAUCCCUUUCUGGGACAGGAGGUCAACGAGACAAACAGGAUAAUAGCCAGCACCCCGUGCCUCACCCCAGUAAAACCUGAAAGCCUGAUGCAAGCACAUGGGGAACUUGCUCUGCUGGCAACUUCCACUGUGUCUUUCGUCAGCCAAAUGGUCUGUUCCAGGUUUGUGUCUUUCAACAACAAAGUCCUUCAGAGCGGGAAUCCUGGGAGGCCUGGACUGAGCCUUUCAUAAUGACCAGGUGUCUUCACGCAGUGACUUAGUUCCUCACUCCCUGCUCACCAUUUCCCACGAGUUCCAGAAAUCAUAGCCCAAACUGGAGCUACCUCAGCCUGACCUGGAUGAUGUAAGCCACACAAGGAAGCAGGUGAAGCAUGCCCCAGAGGACACAGCCACCUCCACUCCAGGCCACACAUCUCCGUCUGCUCCAGGGAAUAAAUUCCAAACUCACUCUGGUCCUUCCCUUUCUGUCCUGUCUGACCACUGUUGCAGCACUUCUCCAACACAAGGACCUGCCAAAAACCCCCUCUCACCCUUCCUAGUCCUCCCCCAGCAGCUCCCAGCAUUGCCCUGACCCUUUUCCCCUGCUUCUCCUCCUCUCCUCCCACCCACGAUGAAAGUGCACUGGUGUGCUCAGGCAAACCUUCUGCCUGCACCCAGAGACACAAGGCACUCAUAUGGGCAUUGGUACUUUCUGAGGGCAUCCUGGAGUGCCUCUGGUUCAAAUUUCCUAAUGAUAAAGUUCAGUAAAACUCUCAGGUGUCCAUUUUGCCCAUUGAAACACUGAGCAUCCUGGAUGUGCUUAACACAGUGGAAAGAAGUUACCCUAUGACAAAAAUCUCCUGGGAGAGCUGUGAUGGGCAGAAGUGGAGCUGGGUGCCAGCCCCAGGAGCUCUGCACUGCUGUCUCCAGCUGUGCCCAUGGCAGCCAGCAGUUGGGUGUGCUGCUACCACGCCAGAUAAUUAUAGCUCCACUGUUUAUAUACCUUCAGCCCGUGGCCACAGGAAGGAAGGCUGAAGGACACUCUAUGUAACAGAGCUCUCCACCCCUUCCCCGCUCCCCCUUCCACCUGCACCCCCCCUGCCCCGCCCCCCCCACACGUGUGAAUUUGGCAUGUGUGACAAGACACCAUGGCCCAGCAUUGUUUGUCAGAGCUGGUCACAGCCCGCAGCUUCCCCUUUCUGUCACCCUUGGAACUCUGCUCUGGGCUCUCCAGGCACUCAGUCCCCCCUCUGCACAAUUUGCAAUCUCCUCCUGCAUCCCUUAACCUGGCAGCUUCUUGAUCCCACAGCUUGACUGAGAACAGGCUUGUCCCUGUCCCCAUGCACAGCUGAACCAUGUGGGUCCUGAAGCCUGUGCUCCUCUCCAGAGCUGUGGGUGCACUGAAGCACUCAGUGAUGGUGAGUCAGUGCUCUCCUCUCCACACAGAUCAGCCGCGGCAUCUGUGUGUCAAUCCCUCCUCCCUGCUGCUUGCAAAUGGCAUCUCCAUAGCAAUCCCGUGCUGCUUGCUCAGCCCAAGCAGGACCAAGCAGAGUGCAACGGAGCUUCUGAGCCAUGGGGUUGUCCAUCUCUGCAGGGACAAGUGACCACCAGUCAUCACUGGAGUGAUAUCCCAAGAAGCUGCCCGGGAGGUACCAGUGGUGGCACUGGAAGGGGUUGAACAGCUGCAGUGACGAGUGGGGGAGCAGACCCCCUUACCCGGCCAUGGAGAAGGAAUGACCUGGCAAGGCUGGGCUGCAGGAUUAGGAUUAGGAUGGGCUGUGUCCCACACGAACGAGCCAGGCCAGCCAGCUGCGGCUGAACCAGCACUUUCGUGUUUGUUUGGGCUGUUAGAUAACUUCGAAAGCAGAAGCUGGAAGGGCUGGCGGCUGAACAGUUUGUUCUUUCCAACUUCCACGCGCUGCUGCCUCAAACCUCAGUGCCGUGCAGGACUUAAACCACAGCUCUGCUGUGCUGCUCAGAGCCGUCCUGUCCCCUCAUCUUCACCCCAAAGUGUGCCUGGAGCCCCUCCAGCCCAGGGCCAAGCUCUGCUUCUUCACGCUGACAGAGGAGGAAACAGAGCAGUGGGAACGCUUCUCUGAAGGGGUCUCAGCCCCACAGGCCGGGCCUGGCACAGGGUGAGGGGCUGCUGCCAUCUCCUGGCCACGGCCGGAACUCAGGGCAGACCACGGGCAGCGCAGCACGGCACGGCGCGGCAUAGUGCAGCUCAGCGCAGCUCAGCAGAGGUAGCUCCCGGCCGCACCCUGCUCCCAGCUCGGGCUGGGGAAGGAGCGAGGAUCACACACCGCCGCCACCCGGCGCAGCUCGUAUCAGCCUAACACGUAUCCACUGGGAACUGGGACAGUGAACAGGACAGGACAAGGCCACUGCAAGCCCUGUUCCAAGGACUGUAUCACAGGGCUGUGCCAAAGGGCAGCAAUGGGAAGUGGGUUCAGGUCACCUUUGAGCACCCGAGGCUCUCCAGGGACAGGCAGCCUCAUCUCCCCAGGUAAAAGGGACAGCUGGGGCCACAACACUGAAGUGUCACCUCCUUGGGGACCAGGAUGGUCCGAACAGCCCCUGAGCCCAAGAGGGUCCAGACCGUGGCACAGUGCUCUGCCUCACUUUCCUGGCCACCUGAAGUGAGGGCAUGAGGCACACAUUGCUCUGCUAUGAGCAGAAAGCGAGCGAUGCUGAGAAAUCCUGCGAGGGUGCCCUGCUCCUCUGCUCCUGGCAGUGGUAGCGCUGGGAAUAGAGACGCCAGGCUGGGCAAACAGAGUUCUCACAUUCCCUCAAGUUGCACAAAGUCCACUCCACAAGGGGCGGCACUUGAUCAAAGAGAAGGCCGUUUUGCCACAGCUGGUCCCAAUAUCCCUCACUGGGUUGCAUCACACCUCCCUUCCAGCCGCUGAAGGAUCCCAACCAGUGACACAGGGUCCCAGGUCCCAGCAGCAACUGGGAGAUUCCAAGAAACUACAGGGAGAAAUGAAAGGUUGGGCUGAGGCCAAAUUAGUAGCACAGGUUUUGCCUCAGUCCAAGGGAGUGUGGUGAGGGCCUGAUCCUCUGUCUGAGGACUGGGGAGACAAGCUCAUGGAGUCUGCUAAGACCCCUCUCCCAGUGCUGGAAUACUGGGGAUGAAAUCCUCCCAGGCCGAGACUGAACAACAGGAGCAGUGUGUGCUGUGGCCCAGUCAGGAGCUGGCACAAGUGAGGUGGGGAAGGAAGGCAGUGUCAUGGAUGCCCUGGAAGGAGAGGGAGGCAGCAAACCCAAGCAGUAGAAAGGACAGGCAAGAAUGGAACAGGAGCCAAUUGGAUGCAGAGAGGACGAUGCUGCAGACUUGUUAAGGCUGGGGCUCACUCAGCUGAGGACAUACACAGGACUGACCCAGGGCCCUGUUGGGCUCCAGAUGCUUUGGUCAUACUGUGUGCUAUGGCCAGAGACGGUGCAGGGGGCCAGGGGUGCUGCAGGGCAUCAUGCCUUGACUCAGGGCACAGUCCCUGUGCACAAGGCAGAGCAGGUGGAGACAGUGGCCCAGGCACAGGAAGGCGAGUGAGUGUUCAGGGGGCAGUGUCCAGAUGCCUCUCAGAGAGCUUGUGUUCUGGACAGAGGCAGCCCUGGGAGCCUGGCAAGCGCUCUUCCUCCCUUGGAUGCCCAACUUGUGACAACAUGGUCCUAUAAACUGCCCCAGGGCUGGCACAACUCAGAGCCAGCUUGGAACCACCAGGUCCCACAAGGCACCUUUCCUGCUGCUCACUUGCCUUCCCAUGGGCAGGGGCUGGGGAAAGCCCCAGGGCCAACAAAGACAGCCCUAUGGACUGUGCAGGCAAUGGAGGGAAUGGGGCGGGACACAUCCCUGACAGGUUUUAGGUAGGAGGGCAGGCUCUGACAGCCAGUGAGGUUCACCCUCACCUAGGACAGAGUCCUGGAAAAUGGUGUACCUGCCACACCAUGCCCAUUGGAGAACAGGCAGGGUGAGAAGCUGCACAAGAGCUGCAGGCUCAUGUGCUUUCCUGUAGGCUCAGGGCAGACUAGUUUUCAACCUGCCUGACACAAGGGAAGGUUCAAGCUUCAGCUCUAGGGACAAACUCGGGACUCCAGCUCUGCUCUGCAUCCCCAUAGCAUGCCCUCCAUCUACCCUCACACACUCUGGCCUGACACAAGCCACCUGAUUUUCUCUGCUCGCUCAUGACUGCCAUGCCCUCCUCGGGAGCCCCUGGCAGGAGCACAAGAGGAACAGGCCAGAUGCAUAUUCCAGCCCACAGAACUUAAAGCAAUGAGGUCAGACUACUAUGGAGCCCAGUUCUUCAGUCACAAGUCCUUCAGGGGUCUCAAGACCCCAUACACCCACCCACAAGACUCCUGCAAAGCAGUCAAGAUGCUCGGUGCUCUGGGCUUUCCUGGCUGCAGGAGGGCAGAGCCACCCAGACUGCUCCCUGUGGGCUCAGGAGCAGCUUCACAAAGGCAGGACUUUGCCGGUGUGGACAUCAUAAUACAGGUACCCCUAAGGUAUGUGGCUGCUCUGUGCUGAGGAGGACCAGAGCGCAGUGUGUUUGAUUUACCACUUUGCAAUCACGUUGCUCCACUGGAGGAGUGGAGCCAUGGCACAGAGUGAGAGGUAAGCUACCGCUGCUGCAGCUGGGCUCAUCAGAGCAACCUCUGCUGAUCCAGGCCUGCAAAUGUGUUUUUUAUGUCAAGCAGAAGAGACGCUCCUGACAUGGAGAGUACUUGGCUGGGCUGCUAUCCAUGAUGGGGAGGGCCCAGCAGAGCUGUUGACUGUCCUUAGCAAGCUGCUCCUGCCCCAGAGAGCUGGCCUUGCAUGCCACAGAAGGGACGGGAUGUGCUGGGCUUGUGCCGGAUCCACUUGACUAGACUCUGUAAAUGAUUUUUUAUAUAACUCUGUUUUCUGGUUGCUUUCAGCACCUUCCAAGUGAAAGCCACAGGCAUCUGUACUCUGCAUGCCUGGCUGUUAUGAAUGGGAUGAAGGGGUUGGUUCCUCCCACUCACUGUGAGAAGCUGCCCAUUCCUGCAGUGAAACCUGGUGAGGCAGCAGCAAUGCUCUCAGGUCAGACUCAGGGUAGCAGCAUAGUGAGCAGACUAUUCUUUCUACUGCCACACAAGAAGCCUACCAGCUAUCCCCUGCGAUGACCCAGGAAGGGGACACACAUAGGCUGGCUCCCCUCACUCUGGUUGCUUUUCCCAGGCUUUGCCAGCCACAUCCCUGCUCCCCAUAGCAGCUGCUGGAAGCCCAGCAGCACAAACCUGCAGUCAGCGGCACCAGCUAUACCCAGUAUAUCAGGAGAAACCCCAUCCUCUCCAGGGGAAUGACUCCUGGUGCCACAGGCAGCUGUCCACCACAGGCACUGGUUGAGAGCAUCCUGCUGGUGUAGGGAGGGGUCCCUGCAUCCCCACUGGGAGCUUGGAGGAGUGCAGACCUUGGAUGUGGCUCAGGAAUACAGUUCCUACACGCGCAGCCCACGCAGGCAGCACCACAUUGCUCGUGCCUGCAUGAAACCUGGGAAUGUGGCUGCCCAGGCUGGCUCCCUGCAAGUGGAUGUUAUUUUAACUCUCAGUUACUCUCUCAUUUUUGCCAGGCAACGACUGAUUCUGCUGUUGGCUAUGCAAUAAAGAGCCCCCUUUUAUUUUUCCUCCUCCA